UUAAGCGACUAAGCGUACACGGUGGAUGCCCUGGCAGUCAGAGGCGAUGAAGGACGUGCUAAUCUGCGAUAAGCGUCGGUAAGGUGAUAUGAACCGUUAUAACCGGCGAUUUCCGAAUGGGGAAACCCAGUGUGUUUCGACACACUAUCAUUAACUGAAUCCAUAGGUUAAUGAGGCGAACCGGGGGAACUGAAACAUCUAAGUACCCCGAGGAAAAGAAAUCAACCGAGAUUCCCCCAGUAGCGGCGAGCGAACGGGGAGGAGCCCAGAGCCUGAAUCAGUGUGUGUGUUAGUGGAAGCGUCUGGAAAGGCGUGCGAUACAGGGUGACAGCCCCGUACACAAAAAUGCACAUGCUGUGAGCUCGAUGAGUAGGGCGGGACACGUGGUAUCCUGUCUGAAUAUGGGGGGACCAUCCUCCAAGGCUAAAUACUCCUGACUGACCGAUAGUGAACCAGUACCGUGAGGGAAAGGCGAAAAGAACCCCGGCGAGGGGAGUGAAAAAGAACCUGAAACCGUGUACGUACAAGCAGUGGGAGCACAGAGCAAUCUGUGUGACUGCGUACCUUUUGUAUAAUGGGUCAGCGACUUAUAUUCUGUAGCAAGGUUAACCGAAUAGGGGAGCCGAAGGGAAACCGAGUCUUAACUGGGCGUUAAGUUGCAGGGUAUAGACCCGAAACCCGGUGAUCUAGCCAUGGGCAGGUUGAAGGUUGGGUAACACUAACUGGAGGACCGAACCGACUAAUGUUGAAAAAUUAGCGGAUGACUUGUGGCUGGGGGUGAAAGGCCAAUCAAACCGGGAGAUAGCUGGUUCUCCCCGAAAGCUAUUUAGGUAGCGCCUCGUGAAUUCAUCUCCGGGGGUAGAGCACUGUUUCGGCAAGGGGGUCAUCCCGACUUACCAACCCGAUGCAAACUGCGAAUACCGGAGAAUGUUAUCACGGGAGACACACGGCGGGUGCUAACGUCCGUCGUGAAGAGGGAAACAACCCAGACCGCCAGCUAAGGUCCCAAAGUCAUGGUUAAGUGGGAAACGAUGUGGGAAGGCCCAGACAGCCAGGAUGUUGGCUUAGAAGCAGCCAUCAUUUAAAGAAAGCGUAAUAGCUCACUGGUCGAGUCGGCCUGCGCGGAAGAUGUAACGGGGCUAAACCAUGCACCGAAGCUGCGGCAGCGACACUAUGUGUUGUUGGGUAGGGGAGCGUUCUGUAAGCCUGUGAAGGUGUACUGUGAGGUAUGCUGGAGGUAUCAGAAGUGCGAAUGCUGACAUAAGUAACGAUAAAGCGGGUGAAAAGCCCGCUCGCCGGAAGACCAAGGGUUCCUGUCCAACGUUAAUCGGGGCAGGGUGAGUCGACCCCUAAGGCGAGGCCGAAAGGCGUAGUCGAUGGGAAACAGGUUAAUAUUCCUGUACUUGGUGUUACUGCGAAGGGGGGACGGAGAAGGCUAUGUUGGCCGGGCGACGGUUGUCCCGGUUUAAGCGUGUAGGCUGGUUUUCCAGGCAAAUCCGGAAAAUCAAGGCUGAGGCGUGAUGACGAGGCACUACGGUGCUGAAGCAACAAAUGCCCUGCUUCCAGGAAAAGCCUCUAAGCAUCAGGUAACAUCAAAUCGUACCCCAAACCGACACAGGUGGUCAGGUAGAGAAUACCAAGGCGCUUGAGAGAACUCGGGUGAAGGAACUAGGCAAAAUGGUGCCGUAACUUCGGGAGAAGGCACGCUGAUAUGUAGGUGAAGCGACUUGCUCGUGGAGCUGAAAUCAGUCGAAGAUACCAGCUGGCUGCAACUGUUUAUUAAAAACACAGCACUGUGCAAACACGAAAGUGGACGUAUACGGUGUGACGCCUGCCCGGUGCCGGAAGGUUAAUUGAUGGGGUCAGCGCAAGCGAAGCUCUUGAUCGAAGCCCCGGUAAACGGCGGCCGUAACUAUAACGGUCCUAAGGUAGCGAAAUUCCUUGUCGGGUAAGUUCCGACCUGCACGAAUGGCGUAAUGAUGGCCAGGCUGUCUCCACCCGAGACUCAGUGAAAUUGAACUCGCUGUGAAGAUGCAGUGUACCCGCGGCAAGACGGAAAGACCCCGUGAACCUUUACUAUAGCUUGACACUGAACAUUGAGCCUUGAUGUGUAGGAUAGGUGGGAGGCUUUGAAGUGUGGACGCCAGUCUGCAUGGAGCCGACCUUGAAAUACCACCCUUUAAUGUUUGAUGUUCUAACGUUGACCCGUGAUCCGGGUUGCGGACAGUGUCUGGUGGGUAGUUUGACUGGGGCGGUCUCCUCCUAAAGAGUAACGGAGGAGCACGAAGGUUGGCUAAUCCUGGUCGGACAUCAGGAGGUUAGUGCAAUGGCAUAAGCCAGCUUGACUGCGAGCGUGACGGCGCGAGCAGGUGCGAAAGCAGGUCAUAGUGAUCCGGUGGUUCUGAAUGGAAGGGCCAUCGCUCAACGGAUAAAAGGUACUCCGGGGAUAACAGGCUGAUACCGCCCAAGAGUUCAUAUCGACGGCGGUGUUUGGCACCUCGAUGUCGGCUCAUCACAUCCUGGGGCUGAAGUAGGUCCCAAGGGUAUGGCUGUUCGCCAUUUAAAGUGGUACGCGAGCUGGGUUUAGAACGUCGUGAGACAGUUCGGUCCCUAUCUGCCGUGGGCGCUGGAGAACUGAGGGGGGCUGCUCCUAGUACGAGAGGACCGGAGUGGACGCAUCACUGGUGUUCGGGUUGUCAUGCCAAUGGCACUGCCCGGUAGCUAAAUGCGGAAGAGAUAAGUGCUGAAAGCAUCUAAGCACGAAACUUGCCCCGAGAUGAGUUCUCCCUGACUCCUUGAGAGUCCUGAAGGAACGUUGAAGACGACGACGUUGAUAGGCCGGGUGUGUAAGCGCAGCGAUGCGUUGAGCUAACCGGUACUAAUGAACCGUGAGGCUUAACCUU
RNAcentral lists this ribosomal RNA (2903 nucleotides) under Escherichia coli KTE193. RNAcentral's name for it is "bacterial LSU rRNA". It matches the Rfam family "Bacterial large subunit ribosomal RNA". Lineage: Bacteria; Pseudomonadati; Pseudomonadota; Gammaproteobacteria; Enterobacterales; Enterobacteriaceae. The record is from RNAcentral.